Molecule: transfer RNA, 89 nt
Filed under: Felis catus (domestic cat)
Lineage: Eukaryota; Metazoa; Chordata; Mammalia; Carnivora; Felidae
Rfam family: tRNA
About the family: Transfer RNA (tRNA) molecules are approximately 80 nucleotides in length. Their secondary structure includes four short double-helical elements and three loops (D, anti-codon, and T loops). Further hydrogen bonds mediate the characteristic L-shaped molecular structure. tRNAs have two regions of fundamental functional importance: the anti-codon, which is responsible for specific mRNA codon recognition, and the 3' end, to which the tRNAs corresponding amino acid is attached (by aminoacyl-tRNA synthetases). tRNAs cope with the degeneracy of the genetic code in two manners: having more than one tRNA (with a specific anti-codon) for a particular amino acid; and 'wobble' base-pairing, i.e. permitting non-standard base-pairing at the 3rd anti-codon position.
Source: Rfam by way of RNAcentral
GCCUGGGUGGCUCAGUCGGUGGGGCGCCUGACUUUGGCUCAGGUCAUUCAUGAUCUCACAGCUUGUGAGUUCGAGCCCCACCUCGGGCU